Molecule: unclassified non-coding RNA, 590 nt
Filed under: Hevea brasiliensis (rubber tree)
Lineage: Eukaryota; Viridiplantae; Streptophyta; Magnoliopsida; Malpighiales; Euphorbiaceae
Source: RNAcentral
CUGUAAUUGAGCAGAACACAACAUUAAGCAAGCCUAUAUAUGCUCGCUUAAUUAUGAGAUCAACAUGGUUCAGAUUUGCGAAUUGCGAUACAUAUUCACUAGUUGGUUGGAGUUGUUGGAUGAUUCUUCCACUUGGGCUUCUUCACAAUCAUGACAGUGCAGUGAGCAUGAUGGGCGCAGUAGUCGCUCACACUUCCCAAAACCGCCCUUUUAAUCGCUCCAUAACCAUGACUGCCCACAACCAAUAUAUGUGCCUCAUGUUUCUCCACUGCCUCACACAGAACAUUCCUGGCAUCUCCUUCGACAACCUCAUAUGUAACAUCAGUCAGCGCAUUAGUACUGCAUAGCUCUUUAGCCGUCUCAAUAACCCUAACAGCAAUUUUCUUCAAAUCCGAUUCCAGAUAUGGCAUCACAUCAAUAACUCCGGGGCCGCCGAGUCCAACGACAGAUGAUGGAGUAGGCUUAGCGUGCACAACAACAAGCUUAAAUUGUGCCGCCGUGCCGGCAGGAAAGAAGUGGCCGAGGACCCACUGGAGGGCGUACAUGCUGUGCUCGCUGUCGUCGAUUCCGAACACCAUCGCCGGCUUCGU